CUGCUUAAAAGCCUCCAAAAGCCUCCACCAUCUCCCAAGGGAUACUCUUCCACUUGCAGGCUUAGGUACAUCAUCACACCUGCAGCCCACAAGAUGUGUCACUUGUGAAAAUGACUUAUGUCGACUGCUCAAAGGAAAGAAAAUGAGAGAAAUUGCAAGGUGGAAAUGGCUUUAAAGAUGUAAAGUUUACUUCAUAUACAGCACGUAAGUGGCGUGAAACCUACAUUAUCCUUGGUGCUGUUAAGAUAACAAAGGCAAUCCAGGUAAAUGCGUUUUCGACUGAGCGGCCUUAUCUGUCCUGAUUGUGCUGGGGUUUCUGCUAAGUGUGACUGUGAACGAUAAUUGCUAUCAUGUGUUACCUGAGAUUACAGGGUUGCUUUCCAACUAAUGACACUAGAAGAACCAGGCCGUUGUUAAUAUUUAAUCAAACUCCUGGCUUAACAAUUGGAUAAAUGAGGUGUGUAAUUACAUAAUUAUAAAGAGACACAUUCCAGAUAAGAACUCGGCUGUUCUUAACACUGAAAGUGA
Long non-coding RNA from Podarcis raffonei (Aeolian wall lizard), 528 nucleotides. RefSeq lists it as uncharacterized. The transcript has 3 exons. The record is from RefSeq and is a predicted model, not a curated record. Lineage: Eukaryota; Metazoa; Chordata; Lepidosauria; Squamata; Lacertidae.